This 51-nucleotide transfer RNA is filed under the name Neotoma lepida (desert woodrat). It matches the Rfam family "tRNA", at positions 15 to 64 of the family's 71-position model. Rfam says of the family: Transfer RNA (tRNA) molecules are approximately 80 nucleotides in length. Lineage: Eukaryota; Metazoa; Chordata; Mammalia; Rodentia; Cricetidae. The record is from Rfam by way of RNAcentral.
GUGGCUGAGCACUUGCCUGGCAUGCAAGAGGUUCUAGGUUCGAUUCCUAGC